RNAcentral lists this transfer RNA (66 nucleotides) under Plateros sp. UPOL A00478. Its description in RNAcentral is "tRNA-Phe". The record is from RNAcentral. Lineage: Eukaryota; Metazoa; Arthropoda; Insecta; Coleoptera; Lycidae.
UUUUAAUAGCUUAUAGUUAGAGCAUAAUAUUGAAGAUAUUAAGGAGAAAAAUUUUCUUAAAAUAUU